UACGUAGGGAGCAAGCGUUGUCCGGAAUUAUUGGGCGUAAAGAGCGUGUAGGCGGCCAGAUAAGUCCGCUGUGAAAUCUCGAGGCUCAACUUCGAGCUGUCGGUGGAAACUAUCUGGCUAGAGUCCGGAAGAGGAGAAUGGAAUUCCUGGUGUAGCGGUGAAAUGCGCAGAUAUCAGGAAGAACACCCGUGGCGAAGGCGGUUCUCUGGGACGGUACUGACGCUGAGACGCGAAAGCGUGGGGAGCGAACAGG
Molecule: ribosomal RNA, 253 nt
Filed under: uncultured bacterium
Lineage: Bacteria
Description: partial 16S ribosomal RNA
Rfam family: Bacterial small subunit ribosomal RNA
Source: RNAcentral